UGAGAAUACCGGCUGAACUUAAGCAUAUCACUAAGCCGAGGAAAAAGAAACUAACAAGGAUACCCUAAGUAACGGCGAGUGAACCGGGUAAUGCUCAAUCUUAAAAUCUGUGUCUCACAUGAGGCAUCGAAUUGUAGUUUUUGAUAAUCAUUCCCUCUUCUUUUAAUAUAAUUAAAGUCUCUUGGAAUAGAGUGUCAUAGAAGGUGAGAACCCUGUGAAUAGUUAUAUUAAAAGGAGGAUAUUGAGUUUGAUUAUCAUAGAGUCGGGUUGUUUGGGAAUGCAGCCUAAAAAGGGUGGUAAAUCUCAUCUAAAGCUAAAUAUUUGGUAAGAGACCGAUAGAAUACAAGUACCGUGAGGGAAAGAUGAAAAGAACUUUGAAAAGAGAGUUAAAAGUACUUGAAAUUGUU
Molecule: ribosomal RNA, 407 nt
Filed under: uncultured eukaryote
Lineage: Eukaryota
Description: eukaryotic LSU rRNA
Rfam family: Eukaryotic large subunit ribosomal RNA
Source: RNAcentral